UCAUACUAAGCGGGGCAGUAGCGGCGCCCUGUACCUGAAAUCCGCUAUAGCAGGGUCGAACUCCUCCCUUGAGGCUUGGCGUUGUGUGGUCUGCGCCGUAGGCUUCUGUGUUGAAGAAUGGGUCUUGCGCAAUGGAAAACCGUGAAUCAUGUCAGGUGGGGAACCAAGCAGCAUUAAGCGGUCCUUUCCAUGUGCCGCAAGGACGCCUGUUCGGAGCAGGAACUGCGGUUAACGCGUGUAACGGCAUUGUCGAUUUGGGGGUGUAUGA
This 268-nucleotide signal recognition particle RNA is filed under the name Clostridia bacterium. RNAcentral's name for it is "signal recognition particle sRNA large type". It matches the Rfam family "Bacterial large signal recognition particle RNA". From Rfam's summary of the family: The signal recognition particle (SRP) is a universally conserved ribonucleoprotein involved in the co-translational targeting of proteins to membranes. Lineage: Bacteria; Bacillati; Bacillota; Clostridia. The record is from RNAcentral.